GGAGGUAAAAGGGUAACUGGUGUGCCUCGCGGUCUUCAAAACCGAUGUACGAGCCAAAACUCGUAGAUGAGUUCGAUUCUCAUUUGCCUCCGCCA
Molecule: transfer RNA, 95 nt
Filed under: Oscillospiraceae bacterium
Lineage: Bacteria; Bacillati; Bacillota; Clostridia; Eubacteriales; Oscillospiraceae
Description: tRNA-Sec
Rfam family: Selenocysteine transfer RNA
Source: RNAcentral